AUAAAGGUGGCAGAAUAGUGCAUUAGAUUUAAGCUCUAAAUAAGAGUUAUUUACUCUCUUUAUA
Molecule: transfer RNA, 64 nt
Filed under: Epitonium scalare
Lineage: Eukaryota; Metazoa; Mollusca; Gastropoda; Epitoniidae
Description: tRNA-Leu
Source: RNAcentral